GAUGAAGAACGCAGCGAAAUGCGAUAAGUAAUGUGAAUUGCAGAAUUCAGUGAAUCAUCGAAUCUUUGAACGCACCUUGCGCUCCUUGGUAUUCCGAGGAGCAUGCCUGUUUGAGUGUCAUGAAAUUCUCAACCUUUUCAGCUUUCUUUGUUGAUCAGGCUUGGAUGUGGGAGUAUGCGGGCUUCUCAGAAGUCGGCUCUCCUGAAAUGCAUUAGCGGGACCUUUGUUGCCUGGCUUUGGUGUGAUAAUUAUCUACGCCAUUGUAGUUAAGCAGCUUAAAAUGAGGUUUCAGCUUCUAACCGUCUCCCCUGAGACAACUUUUUGACAAUUUGACCUCAAAUCAGGUAGGACUACCCGCUGAACUUAAGCAUAUCAAUAAGCGGAGGA
This 387-nucleotide unclassified non-coding RNA is filed under the name soil metagenome. RNAcentral's name for it is "partial contains 5.8S ribosomal RNA, internal transcribed spacer 2, and large subunit ribosomal RNA". The stretch from base 1 to 120 matches the Rfam family "5.8S ribosomal RNA", at positions 35 to 154 of the family's 154-position model. The record is from RNAcentral.